Lycium ferocissimum is the source of this 591-nucleotide long non-coding RNA. RefSeq lists it as uncharacterized. The record is from RefSeq and is a predicted model, not a curated record. NCBI's taxonomy places the organism in Eukaryota, Viridiplantae, Streptophyta, Magnoliopsida, Solanales, Solanaceae. The transcript is spliced from 3 exons.
GCAGACCCUACGAUUCCUCUAUAUUCUCUCUUCCUCUUUAGUGAAACCCUAGGCGUUUCUCUCUCCUCUACGAGCCAAAAAUGGAAAAUUCUCAGAGGCAACAGGCGUGGACAGGCUUUGUACUACCCUGGCAUGGAGCAUUAAAUGCUCCUCAUGCCGUUUUCAUCUUUGUUUCCCCCAAACACGGGGAAGGGGAAGGGGAAAUGGGGAAGGAGAUUACAACAUGGGGAUUCGAACCCUCACCAACAAAGUGAAAGUUCAGGUAUCCAACCAACUGAGCUACUAGAUCCCUACCCAUUCUUGUACACGGCUGUCCAUCAAAAGGCCGAGGUCCAGCCAUUUGGCCCAGUAGGAUAAUUCUUUCAAAAUCCCUGUCGAGUCCGAGAAGAAAAAAUGGAAGCUAAUGUAUAUUGAAGGCCUAGUCAUGGGUGAAAAUGACAUGAAGGCCCAACCAUGGGUGAAAAUGGUUAACGGGUUUGGAACACCCCAAACUAAUCCUUCCUCCUUUAUUUAUGUUAAUUUUAUGAUUGUAUUGUGUUUGUAUGUGUAAAACUCACAUUAUUAUUGGAAACAAGCAUGGUUAGAAUUAGA